Molecule: long non-coding RNA, 4354 nt
Organism: Loxodonta africana (African savanna elephant)
Lineage: Eukaryota; Metazoa; Chordata; Mammalia; Proboscidea; Elephantidae
Exons: 5
Source: RefSeq, a predicted model, not a curated record
GAUCUGGCACUACCGCGGCCUCAUAGAACUACUCCCUAGCUCACAACCCAUCUGAGAUUACCAUGGAGACCAGGCAGACCCCGCCUCCCAGCUUAUCCUUCUAAUUCUAUUGGCUGAUUGGAGGGUGUUUAUAAUGAGGCGGGGAGCCAAUGCUCUUCCGGCUGCUGGCUGAUGGGAUGGAAUUCCCCUUCCUGUUUUUGCCAGUGAUUGGCCAAUUCGGGAAUUCCUGGUUCCACCCUCAAAGCCGGCUUGUAAAUAGCUCCUCACCUUCCUGUACUUCUUAGCUUAAAGGUGCCUCCUGAGCCCCUUGAAGAGGAAAACACAACUUGAGGCAAGAGCGGUGUGGGUCUGCGUGUCUUGGGCUGCAUCAGGCACCUUGAGCACGGUCAAGGAGCCGGGGUCUUCCACCGUGGAGGGCGAUCUUCGUCAGUACUGACAUUGUUUCACGUGCUGAUGUGUCUCUGUAUGAGCAGCCCAGUGUCAAGGUGCUAAUGGAAUCUAGGGAGGGAAAAUGAGGAUCUCGAGGUGGACGAAGACAGCUCUGGAGCCUAACAGGCCUGAAGUGGUGCAGGUGAGGGAGGACAGCUCUCAAGGUCUGGUGGGAUGAAGAAUGCAGGUCAAGAGUCUGGACACAGCUUAUCUGGGUUCUCCAGGGUCUCAUCAGGUUUCAAUCAAGGGAUUUUACUAUAAGAAAAAAGAAGAAACCAGGUGGUGCCUUUAAUACUUUUCUUGGAAAUCUCCUUAGCCAUGUAACAACUUCACUUACAAGUUCUGCUUUCCAUGUAACUGCAGGAGACAAUUUUUAAGCUUUCUGCCACCAUGUGACAAGGAUCUUCCAUCCGUCAGUUUUCUAGAAUAUGUUCCUCACUUCAUUCUGAGCCUUCACUGGCAGUGAGUGCCCUUUAAACUUUAGUAAGAGAGAUGAAUAUACUUCCCAGAUCUGAAAAUAAAGGAAAAGAAAAGAAAUUGGAAAUGUAGUAAUUACUAGAUAAGAGUAUCAAUUGUUGUAGGAAAAGUGCAUAUCAAACAUAAAUUAAGGACAUCUUAAUUUCACGUUGAAAUGGAGAUAAGGAAAAUUAAACAAAGUCUCUUAAGAUUUUUAACCAUAGAAAUGUUAUUUUUCCUGAAUAUAUCUGAUUUACAAAAAGAAGCCACUUAGUUGGCAGCAGAGAAGAAAUCAAAUGACUAUUGCAUUGGGCAAAUGUGCUGCAAAAGACCUCUUUAAAGUUUUAAAAAGCAAAGGUGUGACUUUUAUGACUAAGGUGUACCUGACCCAAGCCAUGGUCUUUUCAAUCGCCUCAUAAGCAUGUGAAACCUGGACAAAGGAAGAUUGGAGGAGAACUGACACAUUCGAAUUGUGGUGUUGGCAGAGAAUAUUGAAUAUACAUACCAUGGUCUGCUAGAGGAAUGAACAAAUCACCCUUAAAGGAAGUACAGCCAGAAUGUUCCUUAGAAGCAAAAAAAGAAGCAAGGAUGGCAAGAUUUCUCUUGCUUGCUUUGGACAUGUAAUCACAACGACCAAUUGCUAGAGAAGGACAUCGUGUUUGGCAAAGUGGAGGGUCAGCGAAAAUGGGGAUCCACUUGAGACGGAUCACGUGGCGGCUGCAACAAUGCGCUCGAACACACUAAUGAUUGUGAGGAUGGCGCAGGACUGGGCAGUGUUUCCUUGUUAUACACAAGGUCACUGAGUCAAAGCCAAUUCCACGGGAACUAGCAACAACAAUAACAACAAAGUUGGCUUUUAAAUAUUCCGACGCUUUAAGUCCCAAUUUUUUUUUUUUAAGUCCCGUGGAAACUUUUUCUUUUAUUAUUGUGCUUUAAGUGGAAGUUUACAAUUCACGUCAGUUUCUCAUACAAAAACUUAUUCACACAUGGUUAUGUGACCCUAGUUACUCUCCCUGUAAUGUGACAGCACUCUCCUCCUCUCCAGCCUCUAUUUCCCAUGUCCGUUCAACCAGCUCCUGUCCCCCUCUGCCUUCUCAUCUCGCCUCCGGACAGGGCCGCCCACAGUCUCACGUGUCUACUCGCGCUAAGAAGCACACACCUCACCAGCAUCAUUUUAUGUCUUAUUGUCUAGUCUAAUCUCUGUCUGAAGAGUUGGCUUCAGUCCCAUGGAAACUUUAUCUGAAUAGUUUUAAGCAGUGAGUAACAUCAGUAAUUUGUAAUAUAAAGUAAGAAUCAUGUUUGGAUCUUCUAAAUCUGAUUCACAGAUUCUGCUUAGUGCAAUAUUAUUCAAAUUUGGGAGUGGCCUUCAGAAUUUUUUUAAAGUAAUUAUCAGUCACAGUGAUGUCCUGUAAAAGAAGUUUCUGUAAGCUGAAGAUAAUUAAAAGUUGUUUGUCAUGUAGUCAAGAGAAAUUGCCAAAUGUGCCCAUUCUCUCAAGUGAAAAUAAGACAAGCAAAAAAAUAGAUUUUGAAAAUAUUAUUGAUGAGUUUUCCUUCACCGAAGUAAGCAAAGUAAAAUUAUGAUAAAUUCCAUUUUGAGUUUAAAGGAAACAUUUAAACUGAAAAUAUUGUUGUGAGUUUCACUAUUUCUCAUUUUUUCCAUAUAUUUUCAACUACUUCAAUAUUCUGGAUUUUUAAAGCAUGUACAAGGGUACACAUUUCUCCUUUUGCCUCUAGGUCCAACAUGGCACAGCAAGGUGCUGCUUCUGGGAGGACAGGGUCGAAGUAAGGUGAGGCAGGGAGAAAGGGUGAAACUGAGGUUUAUGGGGUCUGCAGGGGCCUGGUGAAGCAAGGUCUUGUAGGGCAGGAGAAGGAGCGUGUCCUGGUGACUCUAAGACCACGGGACAAAGAUUGAGAAGAUCUUGCCUUUCCUGAAGGGGAUACCAGACACAGACUCAGGUUGGCUGGGCCAGGACAGAAGAAGGCCUCAGCUUAGCACCAAGAAAAUCCAAACCCGUUGCCAUGGAGUCGAUUCCGACUCAUAGCACCCUACAGGACAGAGUAGAACUGCCCCAUAGGGUUUCCAAGAGCAGUUGGUGGGUUCCAACUCCUGACCUUCUGGUUAGCAGCAGAGCUCUUAACCACUGCAGACGGCCACCAAAUGGUCAGUCGUGUCACCUCAGAUAAUGCUACUGUAAAGGCUGGAAGUUGGGGGACCUCCGUGACACCUGCCCUGCUCAAUCUGCAGGUCCAGCUUCUGCCUUAUGGAGGCUUUGGGCGAAGAUACAUGCCAUCACCUUAUCACAGAGAUGAGUGUGCACACAAAUGCAGAAUACCACACAAUUCUCUCCUAGAUGACAAAUCAGGGACCUCCCCCCGCCCCCUUCCCCAUUCUGCUCAGGGAGAGUUCAGAGCUUCUCCACAAUCUAAAUCAGGUCACAUCUCUCCCUGACUUAUAUCCUCCAGCAGGUUCCCAUGGCUCUUAGGAUCAAAUCUAAAUCCCUGGCUCAGGUGUCCAAGCCCUGCCUGGCCUGCUCUUGCCCUCCUCACUCCCUCCCCUCCUGCCUUCCCACACUCCGGUCACACUGCCCCUUUUUUCGGCUCCUGGGACACUCAAGACUCAUUCUCACCCCCAGGGCCUUUGUAUCAGCUGUUCCCCUACCUGGCGCUCUUUCCUUUCCCCUAGCUCCUUCUGGAGAAGUUCAUCCUUCAGAUCUCAGCUCAGGUGUCCCCUCCUCAGAGAGGCUUCUCUGCACCCCCUUCUCCUGGGUCCCUCUCCUUUCUAGUUAUUCCCUUCACAGCCCUCGGUCCACUCUGAAACAACCUCAUUUAUUUGACUGCUUAUCCCUGACCCUCCACCCUCCUCCCGCCCCAUGAAUCAUGAGCUCCAGGAGAGAUACGGCCUUGUCUUUGAUCACUACUUAGACUCGGGGCUGAGCACACGUCCGGGUAACACCAAAACGAAACAAAACAAAACAAAACAAAACAAAAACCCCAAACCCACUGCCGUAGUCCAUUCUGACUUAUAGACACCAGGCUCCUAAUUCAAAUAAGUUGAAUGAAUUCAUAAAUCCUGCCCUCCGCACUCAUGGAACCAAUAUGAGGUUCAAUCAGGAAUAUAGCCGCCAGUAACUGAGGCCCAUAUACACUAUACACUGAACCAGUCAGGAGUUCAAACCGUGGAUAAAUGCAAAUGACUGAAACUCGAACUCUACAUCGAGAAGAAGCUUUCCUAGGUAAGGAGGCUGCGGUUCCUUGAAGGAAAAAUCCGCACUGAACACUUGAGACUCCGCCCUUUAUAUUCCAGCAGCCAAUCACAUGGAGGAAUUAAGGGCGAAGAGCGCAUUGGUGAAUAGAGACCACACCCCGAUUACGUCACUCACCAUGACAACCUCCCGCCUUUGAUCCUGAAUUUGAGAAAUGGCCCUCGUUCCUUAAUGAGUUUAUAAGGGAACACCUUACAGGUUAUAUG